Molecule: ribosomal RNA, 554 nt
Filed under: uncultured bacterium
Lineage: Bacteria
Description: partial 16S ribosomal RNA
Rfam family: Bacterial small subunit ribosomal RNA
Source: RNAcentral
UGGGGAAUAUUGCACAAUGGGCGCAAGCCCGAUGCAGCCAUGCCGCGUGUGUGAAGAAGGCCUUCGGGUUGUAAAGCACUUUCAGCGAGGAGGAAGGUGGUGAACUUAAUACGUUCGUCAAUUGACGUUACUCGCAGAAGAAGCACCGGCUAACUCCGUGCCAGCAGCCGCGGUAAUACGGAGGGUGCAAGCGUUAAUCGGAAUUACUGGGCGUAAAGCGCACGCAGGCGGUUUGUUAAGUCAGAUGUGAAAUCCCCGGGCUCAACCUGGGAACUGCAUUUGAAACUGGCAAGCUAGAGUCUCGUAGAGGGGGGUAGAAUUCCAGGUGUAGCGGUGAAAUGCGUAGAGAUCUGGAGGAAUACCGGUGGCGAAGGCGGCCCCCUGGACGAAGACUGACGCUCAGGUGCGAAAGCGUGGGGCAGCAAACAGGAUUAGAUACCCUGGUAGUCCACGCUGUAAACGAUGUCGAUUUGGAGGUUGUGCCCUUGAGGCGUGGCUUCCGGAGCUAACGCGUUAAAUCGACCGCCUGGGGAGUACGGCCGCAAGGUUAAAAC